GCGAGGAUGGCGGAAUUGGCAGACGCGCUAGACUUAGGAUCUAGUGUCUCCGACGUGAGGGUUCAAGUCCCUCUCUUCGCA
Molecule: transfer RNA, 81 nt
Filed under: Fusobacterium sp. FSA-380-WT-3A
Lineage: Bacteria; Fusobacteriati; Fusobacteriota; Fusobacteriia; Fusobacteriales; Fusobacteriaceae
Also listed under: 1 other name
Rfam family: tRNA
About the family: Transfer RNA (tRNA) molecules are approximately 80 nucleotides in length. Their secondary structure includes four short double-helical elements and three loops (D, anti-codon, and T loops).
Source: Rfam by way of RNAcentral